This 331-nucleotide unclassified non-coding RNA is filed under the name soil metagenome. RNAcentral's name for it is "partial contains 5.8S ribosomal RNA, internal transcribed spacer 2, and large subunit ribosomal RNA". The stretch from base 1 to 120 matches the Rfam family "5.8S ribosomal RNA", at positions 35 to 154 of the family's 154-position model. The record is from RNAcentral.
GAUGAAGAACGUAGCGAAAUGCGAUAGGUAAUGUGAAUUGCAGAAUUCAGUGAAUCAUCGAAUCUUUGAACGCACAUUGCGCCCCCUGGUAUUCCGGGGGGCAUGCCUGUUCGAGCGUCAUUUCACCACUCAAGCCUCGCUUGGUAUUGGGCAUCGCGGUCCGCCGCGUGCCUCAAAUCGACCGGCUGGGUCUUCUGUCCCCUAAGCGUUGUGGAAACUAUUCGCUAAAGGGUGUUCGGGAGGCUACGCCGUAAAACAACCCCAUUUCUAAGGUUGACCUCGGAUCAGGUAGGGAUACCCGCUGAACUUAAGCAUAUCAAUAAGCGGAGGA